UGGUGGUUCUGUAGUUUUGUAGCCAGUUGAAGGGCUAAAUUGGCUGGUCGAAGCGGGUAGGAGGAGAGCAGCAGUUCCUUACACUUCUUCACCUACAGAAGGUCCGGGGGUUGGUGUCUGUAUCUAGCUGGUGAUAGAAGGCAGUCCACUGUUUCUGUUUGUGGAGGACAGAGCUCUACAGUUGAGGUCAGGUUGUCU
Molecule: long non-coding RNA, 198 nt
Organism: Oncorhynchus masou masou (cherry salmon)
Lineage: Eukaryota; Metazoa; Chordata; Actinopteri; Salmoniformes; Salmonidae
Exons: 3
Source: RefSeq, a predicted model, not a curated record